UGCAAGUCGAGCGGUAACAGGGGGAGCUUGCUCCCCGCUGACGAGCGGCGGACGGGUGAGUAAUGCAUAGGAAACUGCCCAGUAGUGGGGGAUAGCCCGGGGAAACCCGGAUUAAUACCGCAUACGCCCUUUGGGGGAAAGCAGGGGAUCUUCGGACCUUGCGCUAUUGGAUGUGCCUAUGUCGGAUUAGCUAGUUGGUGGGGUAAGAGCCUACCAAGGCGACGAUCCGUAGCUGGUCUGAGAGGAUGAUCAGCCACAUCGGGACUGAGACACGGCCCGAACUCCUACGGGAGGCAGCAGUGGGGAAUAUUGGACAAUGGGGGCAACCCUGAUCCAGCCAUGCCGCGUGUGUGAAGAAGGCUUUCGGGUUGUAAAGCACUUUCAGUGAGGAGGAAAACCUUACGACUAAUACUCGUGAGGCUUGACGUUACUCACAGAAGAAGCACCGGCUAACUCCGUGCCAGCAGCCGCGGUAAUACGGAGGGUGCAAGCGUUAAUCGGAAUUACUGGGCGUAAAGCGCGCGUAGGUGGUUUGAUAAGCGAGAUGUGAAAGCCCCGGGCUCAACCUGGGAACGGCAUUUCGAACUGUCAGGCUAGAGUAUGGUAGAGGAGUGUGGAAU
RNAcentral lists this ribosomal RNA (620 nucleotides) under Marinobacter sp. Its description in RNAcentral is "bacterial SSU rRNA". It matches the Rfam family "Bacterial small subunit ribosomal RNA", at positions 56 to 667 of the family's 1533-position model. The record is from RNAcentral. Lineage: Bacteria; Pseudomonadati; Pseudomonadota; Gammaproteobacteria; Pseudomonadales; Marinobacteraceae.